CAGGGAUCGAACCUUCGUCCUCACAGAUGCUAGUCAUAAUUCGUUUCCACUGAACCGUGAUGGGAACUCCAAACUAUCUCCAAUUUUGAUUCAAGCUAGAGACACAGGUCUGUGCCCAGUGGGUAGUCCUUAGUGCUAUUGCUCUUCUGCACAUGGCAUUGGUGAUUGAAUGCUGAGGGACUCACACCUCUGUCACCUGGCUCAGGAACUAGUGUCCUGGGGUGUUAUUUCAACUUGACCCAGUUAUUAAAGCAUAGGAACCCCAGUCAUUAAAUAAAGCCAUGUAGCAGUGAGGGUUUGUGUUCUCUGGGCAAGGAUGGGGUUUGGUUGUUUAGGUAGCUGGAAGAUGUUGACGUGGGGUUAGGGACAUAGCUUUGGCUAUUUGGCUUAGGGAAACAGAAGGAGACCUCCAGCAGCAGGAAAUGAACCUCUUCCUCUCCUGUUCUUCAAUCAGGGGCAAAGAUCUGAGAGAGAAACUACCUCCAGGUGGGAGGUAGUAGGUAGGCCUGAAGGUUUUCGGUAAGUAAUGUCCUGUUAGAGAGAUGACAGUCUGAUCUGGUGUGAAUUUCCUUGUGGAUGUCAGAUGUGCACAGACUUGUUUGGCCAUGGUCAGGGAGAAACACAGCUUGAUGCCACUGCUGCUGCUGCUGGAGGCGACUCCUGCAGGGGGCCCAGACUCAGCACUAGAGAAAGGCAGCUUCUACAUGAGGGUGGAAAAUUGCCUCAGGCUUAUUCUUUAACAGCAUGUAAUAUUUGGGGUCUUGGGAAAGUCCCGUGUAUCUUACCUCACUUGUCUCUUUGAGGUCAGAUAACACACAUGUAGUGUAUCACACUAUGUACCAAGACCUCACCACACUAGUGUGCUAUUUCCUACUGCUACCAGAACAUAUAACUGCAAACUUAGGGCCUUAAGACAGCACCCAUUUAUUAUCUCACAGUUUUGCAGGUCAGAAGUCCAGUAGGCUCGGCUGGUUUCUUUCCUUCUGGUAUCACAAGGCCAAAAUCGAGGUGUCGACUGGGCUCCUUUGCCUUCUGGAGGCUGGAGGGGAGAAGCCAUUUCCAGAAUCUUUCAGGUGGUUGGCAGAAUUCAGUAUCUAUAGGACAGAAAUACACAUUUCCUUGCUGGCUGACACAUAAGGGGUCUCCUUAGCAUCUAGAGGCUCUUUUGGGUCACUGUGCACAGUUGCAUGUAGUCUCAAAACAUGUCAGUACUAGCAAGAGUACACAAAAUCCUUUUGUUGUAUUCCAUCUGCCUCUCCUUCUUCUGCCACUUUUCUAUGACUGACUCUUCUGCCUUCCUCGUCUACUUUUAAGUGCUCAAGUGAUUAGACUGGGCCCCUCAGUAAUCCAGGAUAAUCUCCCUAUUUUAAGAUCUGUAACCUUAAUCACACCCGAAAAGUCUCUUUUGCUAUGUCAAGUAACAUAUUCGCAUAUUCCCAGGGACUAGGGCUUGAAAACCUUUGGGAGGCAUUAUUCCUUUCAUAUUUAUGUCCCUCAAUCCUCAUAACAGCCCAGUAAGGGAAGUGUUAUGCAUGUGAAGAAAGUGAAGUUCAGAGAGGUUUAUAUCACAAGUAAUAGAUGGUAGAGCUGGAGUUUGAACCUUGCUUCAGAGCUCACACCCCUUCCUCUGCUAGAGAGAAGGACUAGUGGGAGCAAAGCAAUUGUAUCACCUGUCACUCACCGCAGUUCCCACUAUUGUUUCCCUAGUGCUGCUUCUCAACUUAUUGAGGUCAUCACCACUGUGUCCACCCAAUUUCCGAUUCUCCUCCUACCUCCCCACUAUGGGUUCCACUGGACAUCAGGAAAAAGCAGAGGGACAAGUUUUCCAGAAGAAAAAGAAUGAAUGCUAGAGCACAUGGGUAUCCUUUGAAAUGAGCUGCAGAGGAGCUGUGUUCAUUUCAGGCUCACAGUCUUGUCACCAGUUUCAGAAGAAUUCUGCACCUGCAGCAGCCAGGAAUAUCUGCUGAGGAACCUUUGUCCUCUACCUAAACCAGGACUCUUCAGCCUGGACUGGAAGGCUCCCAUGUACCAACUGCUCCUGCUGCUGCUGCAGCUGCAACUUCUACUCUCUCUCUCCCCAACCACAGGCCCCAUGAACCCCAAUAGUAGGAGGAAAAGGAAAAGUAAUCAAAAUGCUGUGCUUAAAGGGAUGGUUCUCCAAGUGUGGUACCUGGAUCAGCAGCAUCCUCAGCCCCUGGAAACUUGCUGAAAUGCACUCUUGGACCUUUCUCCAGAACCUCUGGAGUGGUGCCUAGCAAUCUGUGUUUCAGGGAGUCUUCCAGGAGAUUCUGGUGCACAGGAAAGUUUUGGGAGCCACCGGCUUAGGGUUUGAUCUCAGAAGUCAGGUGACCUGCCUAGGAGUUCAUCCAUCUUGGUAAAAAUAUCAUCAACUCUUCUGUCCCCUUUUAAUUGGUGGGGAAAGACCUGCCUGUAGUGCAGUGGAGAAUCCUUGGGAUCCUGGUUAUCUCCUGGCCCUCUGGGCAUUUUGUAUUAACUGUAAGUCACAAGUACUAGCCUGUCUGUGGCAGCAUCCAGGAAACAGAAUCAUGGCAGCUACACGAGAAGCCUCCCACAUGCAGGGUUUCUCUGACGUCUCAUGGUGAAGGACAACAUAUCUAACCUUGUUCUGAGCGAAACGGACAUGUACUUCCAAGUGGCUUGAGAAUCUCUUUAGUUCUAUAUUUAGUCAGUUUACAAGGAGUUUGAGAUGGAUUUUACUGUUUACCAAGGCCUUUCUUGUGUGUCCAUCAUAGUACUUAGGACUGGAAAUCUGUGCUAAUCUCUUGUGAGUUUCCACUUGCAGGAUGCCACUUUGAUAAAAUGUAGAAAUCUUC
Molecule: non-coding RNA, 2834 nt
Organism: Sus scrofa (pig)
Lineage: Eukaryota; Metazoa; Chordata; Mammalia; Artiodactyla; Suidae
Source: RefSeq, a predicted model, not a curated record